GUAAAGCGAACCCUGAUCCCACUUCUUCCUCCCAAAUCCGCGCCCCCAGAUCCGCCGCCGUGCUGGAGCGCUCCACCCCGCCGCCGGCGUCCGCGGUGCGUGCUCGUGAUCACCCUGCAGCCGGUGAACGCCCCCGACAUCCUCCUCCCGACGCGCUCCUGGUUCCCCCGUCUCCCGCGCCCUCGCCGCUGUCUUCACCUUCUUCCUCCCGCGCCUCCACCUCAUCCGUGGCAAGCAGCGAUCCGCGACCGCAUCCUCCGAUCCCCAUCGGCCUCGCUGAUAUCACGACGGAGGCGGAACACCAGCGUGAUCCCGCGUUCCCCGAAUCGUGAGGUCGGCAAGGCCAAUCGAACCCUAACCCCACUCUCAGAUGGCGCCGACAAGUCCGCAACGGGAGAGGGGAGAGGGGUCGGGGUCCCGAUCGGCGAGGAAGAGUCGGCGGCGGCAGCGCACCCCCACACCGCUCACGUGGACGGAGUCACCGCCGCCGUCGCAGCGGGCCAAGAGGAAAAAGCGCAAAGAUCAUAAACAGGACCAGGAAGGAGCUAGGGCGGCGGUCUCGGGUUCAGAUCUCGCGGAGCAUGAUUCCUCCGGGGCUUCGUCUGCUGUCAGCUCCCCCAUCCGUUGGCCCUUGCUCUGCCGCACCGUCAAAGGGGAAGAUGCCUCCGGCCGGAAGGUCUUCGAACCGUUCAUCAAGAUAAAACAUAGUCUUGUGGAUGCUUAUGAGGAGAUGAAAUUUAAGUACCAUGAGAAAAGAGCUCGUCAAUUGAAGCUAGUUACGCUUCAUCAACAUGUAUCUGUAUCUUGCUUGGUAAAUCAAGAAUUGUUGUCUACCCGCGACUCUGCAACAAAGACAGUGCUAAAAGCAGCUAAAGUUGUUAUGGGGCUAUCGUCAUAUGUUGCAUAUGUAUUUGUAGAUGGCAAACUGAUGACACGAGCCACCGGUUUUUUAUUUGAUUGGGAUAAUGAGAGUAAAGUCGGUACUCUGUUGACGUCUGCGCUCCUAAUCUGCCCAAAGUCUCCCUCCGCGGAUGAGUGGAUGGGUGCAGGUGAAUAUAUUCCUGAAGCUGAGGUUCGUGUACAUUUGUUGGAUAGAGAUGACACGAUGGUAGCUGCGGAGUUGCUACACUAUGACAAGAAUUAUAACCUUGCCCUGUUCAAGGUUGAUAUGAAUUUAUCUGCUGAGGUACUACGUUUUAGAAGUGAGCUGAAAUUUGGGCAGGAAGUCUUUUUGCUUGGAAGAGAUAAGGAUCUAUAUCUGAAUAUUGAUCAUGGCCACGUGCAAUAUGCCGAUUCAAGUCAAUAUGAGCGCCACCACUAUAUGUUUCUCAAUUGUGUGCUUAGAGAGUGUGGAUUAGGAGGACCUGUUAUUGACUUAAACGGAGAAGUUAUGGGGAUGGUUAAUAGUCGACGCACAGGAUUUAUUCCUUCUGCAACUAUACAAAAAUGCAUACAUAUGUGGAAGAAAUUCAAUUGUAUCCCUCGGCUGCAUAUUGGCAUGAAACUUUCGGCGAUCAAAUUUCUGGAUCCUAUUCAGAUAGAGGCAAUCUCUCGGAAGUGUAACAUUGAUGAGGGUUUGAUUGUUCAACAUGUGUCUGAAGGAUCAAGUGCCGAGAGGCAAGGAAUCAGGACUGGUGAUAUCCUUCAAUGUUGGAAUGGAGUGUAUAUUUCUACCACAGUUGAGGAAUUAUGUUUCACUGCAAUUCUUGUUGCUGUUGUCAGUUGGAGAACCACCUAUUGAAAAUAGCCGAGGAGCAUUUGGACAAAGGAAACAAGAGAGAUUCCAAUGUGGAAGUUGAAGUUGCUAUAUUUCAAAUACGCAAUGGUUUGGAUUGCACUAAAAAGCUUGCAGUAAAAGUAUCUGAUGAGAUAGAAGUGGUUCCAAGAGGAACAUAUCCUGUCUUUGCUGGAAUAGAGGAAGGAGGCACUUCACGGUAGAUGGGAUGUUCAUGUUUGCGAUGACUGAAUGGUGGCCUUUUUCUUAGUAUGUGAUGAUCUCUGGGAACACGCGAGGACAAAGGCAAUUACUACUAUGUAAAGGUUUUAUCGUUUGCUUGAAUGGAGAAGAUUGUAGAACAUAGCGUAUCGACAAAUGUCAGCGACGGAGCUGUCCGUGGAGCCGCCGUCGCCGCACCCGCCACCCCGUGCUCCCGUCCCGUCGCCGCGCCCGCCGCCCCGCGUGCCCCUGACGCCGCGCGCCCGCCCUAGUAGACGCCGUCGAAUCCUCGCCAGCCCUGCGUGUGCUGUAGCGCCCUCGCCCGCCGUGCCACGUGCCGCCCUCGGCCUUCAUGCUACGCGCUGGCACGCCCUCGGCCUUCGUGCUACGUGCUGGCACGGCACUGCCUCCGCCUCCUCCGCCCAGCGCCGCGUCGCCUGCUGCUCGUCGUCGCCAGCCGUCACAUGCUCUCCCCUACCUCAUGUGAAAAGGGUUUAUUUUCUUGCAUUUCUACAAAUCGAUUGCCAUGUACAUGUUCUAUUUCUAUUGCAUGGCACUGGCUUCGUUGUGUUGCAUUUGAUUUGCGCACUCUGAAUUGGUUGUGCAUUGAAUCACCUGGAAUGUAGUUUCUACUUUCCUGAUGUGUUUAUUGGAGGAACUGUGAUUUGCCUAAAGCGGAUGGAAGCAUAAUUUGUCAUUUUGCGAAUUACUUGUAGUUCACCGGGCUGGGAACCACAUUGCAAACGCCGCUAUGAAAAUGCUUUUGUGCUGCGUAGCAGGUUAAAUUAUGUUUGAACUUUAUUCUGGAGAAUGGAGGUUGGAAACAGCAAAGGAAAACAGCUAACGUGGUAAAAAGAUUGAUAAGUUGCAAAGCCAGUUCAGGGACGUAGUGGUUACUAUCCGCCGGACCAAGAAAAGUGAUUCUCCGUGUAGCAAAGUUGGUACAUGUCAAAUGUUUCCUUUCAGAAUUUAAACCAUUUGAACAUGCAUUAUAGUUUGUAUCCACCGCUGACACAUUGUGAGGAAUGUACAGGGCAACCGCAAGUGCAGAUGAUAGUUGAAGAUGAGCGUGAGGAGCCUGACGAUUGUAACUACCAUCAAGAGCCGAACGGUAUCCGUGUGUUGAAGCCCAAGGACUACGAGCAUUGUGAUCCUCUUCUUCUAAAUGACUUUCUCAAGAUACACGAAGAAAUUGAGGACAUGUCACAUGAGCGACUUUGUGAUGAUCUAGUAGAUCAUAUGUGGGCAAGAUAUAGUGCUAUGUAGUUCUCAUGUAAUUUAUUCAUGUUAUAUUUAAUGUGUGAAAAUCAGAAUUCA
Molecule: RNA transcript, 3253 nt
Organism: Panicum virgatum (switchgrass)
Lineage: Eukaryota; Viridiplantae; Streptophyta; Magnoliopsida; Poales; Poaceae
Gene name: serine protease HTRA3-like
Exons: 12
Source: RefSeq, a predicted model, not a curated record